CCUCCUCAGCCGAGCUGUGUUUUUUAUUAUCUAACAUGCUCCCUUUCCUUCUUGCUCUCUCUAAAGGUGGUGGUCAGCAUCCCCUGGAGGUGAAGCGCUGUGACCCGUAACUCACCGCCGCCUGGAGCCACACGGAUCGUCUGGACUUCACUCCCCCACCUCCAGCUUCUGUCCAACCGCCCUCUGAAGACGUCGACAAUGUGACAGCUGGACCCUUUCAGAAGCAUGUGACCUGCCGUUAUUAUGGAUCGGAAAAUCAGCAUACAUUGAAUCUACACUCAUCCAGGGCUGCUUAGGAGGAAGGACAAUGCUGCUCACUAUGGGACUCAAGGCCACGCUGAGUGACUCAUAUUCCUAUAGAAUUCGGG
Molecule: long non-coding RNA, 368 nt
Organism: Gasterosteus aculeatus aculeatus (three-spined stickleback)
Lineage: Eukaryota; Metazoa; Chordata; Actinopteri; Perciformes; Gasterosteidae
Source: Ensembl